Molecule: long non-coding RNA, 2934 nt
Organism: Phascolarctos cinereus (koala)
Lineage: Eukaryota; Metazoa; Chordata; Mammalia; Diprotodontia; Phascolarctidae
Source: Ensembl
AUGGUUUGCUCUUCUUUAUUUGCUUGCAGGUGCAUGAAGAGAGUUGCUGCUGAUUUUUUCAAGUUUCUAAAUGAUCCAUGCCUACACUACCUUACAAAGGCUUUUAUAUCACAACCCAGACAGCACCCUAGGUAUCUGCAGGGGAUGAGAAAGUGGAACGUUUGUCCUGACUCAGGCCAAGCUAGAACAACAAGAUUUUUUUCCCUCAUCGAUUUUCAUUCCAGAUUUGGAGGGGAGUCUUUCUUCAAGAUUCAAAUUCAGUCAGAUCACCUUGGAGCAGCUAGUUCUAAUUUCUCAGAAUUUCCUCCAAAAAAGAAAGCAAACCAAAGUUAUCCCCCACCUGAUUACCUGAGGAAUAUUUGGGGACUUCAGAAGGUUGUAUGCUGCAGAAAGAGAUAUUGUCUGCUUGAUGGCAUUAUUCUGUCCUCAGCUGAAAUUCUUAGUAAUCAUCUAAAUCACCCAUGAUGGAACGGUUGUUGAUGGAUUUCUUUUGGAAGUGGAUCUUGGGAACUCUGUCAUUACUGCUGUUCCUUUGAGAAAGCAGCAGUUUUAUUUGCUCUUGAAGAGUUGGGUAAAUUUACUUUUGUGGAUGAAACUGAUCAUUGAGCUCCUCAGCUGUGACUCUCAUAGAGCCAGCCAAGAAAAGUAAUGUUGGAUAAUGUUUGAUUGUCAACUUGAAAACCAGACGAUACUAAGUAAGCUUCAGGUUAUAUUCAGGAUUUUAAAAUUAAACAGAGGAAGAUGCUUAGUCUAUCCUGCUACUCUUGGAGGCCAUGCAUGGAGAACAGUCAACAAACAAACAUUUAUAAAGCCCCUAUUCUGUACCAGACACUGUGCUAAGCCAGGGCAUACACAGACUAAAAUGACGUAGUCUGUAUGAUCCAAGAACUUAGACACUUAUACCAGCAGGGAGAGGAUAGUCCCGUUGGCAAUGAGGGGCAGGAAGGAGGAUCAGGAGAGGCUUUUCAUGAGCUGAGAUUUGAAGGAAACAAGAGAUUAAAAGUUUAUAACAAGGGAAAGUGAGGAAAGAAAGAGGGCCUCCAGAGCUAUCCUUACUCUUCCUCUUGUCUUCCAGGUUUGGAGCCUGAGUUUUAUCCUUUACUCCUCAUUCCCCAUCCCUCCAAAUAUGCUGUGUGAUGCUAAAUCUCUGUUUCCAGGAGUAUCUGGGGCACCUGGCCCUUUUAUUUCCCUCCCCCAUCUACCAGCUUAGUCUAGGCCCUUGUCAGCCCUGCAGGAGUUGGUGGCAACAGCCCAAUGGCUCCCCCCCCCCACCUCAAGUGUCUCACUACUCCAGUCCAUACUCCUGAACACUAUGACCAACCCCAUUUUCCUUGAGUGCAGAUUUGACUGUGCCAUUGCCCUGUACAACCCAGGCUGCUGCCUCCCCAUUGCCUCUAGGGUCAGAUAUAAAACACUUGGUUUAAAUUUGAAAAGCCCAUCCUUCACCAGUUGACCCCAACCUAUCUUUUCAGUUUCAUUGGACAUUACCUCUCUGCCUACUCUUGACAAUGUAUCCAAAGGAGCCUUUUCUCUGUUCCUCACAUCUCUUUUUCUGUGCCUCAGGGCUGAAUAGCAGUCCUUUCCCCCCUCUUCUGUGUACCACUCCUGUCCACAUGAAUCCCCACCCCAUUGGGAGGGCCUUCUCUCCCAAACCACCUUCUAUUUUAGUACUUUGUGCUGGUUUUCUUGAUAUUUCUUAUAUAUGUGCUUAAACAAAUUCCUAUAUUUAUAUAUAUCUCAUAUAUGUGUAUGUGUUUAUGUGUCUGUGUACUUACUGUUCCUCACAUUAGACUGUAAGCACCCUCCCUAUGGUCAGGGUAAUUUAAUUUUUCAUAUUUGCAUCUCUGGGGCCUAGCACAGUGUCUGCUAUGGAGUAAGUGCUCAAUCAAAGCUUGCUGGUGGAUUCUUGGCAUGGAAAGUAGCCAGUGAAGGGGCAAAGGAUGGAAGACAGAGUGUCAUCCAUAUGUGAGGACCAUCGACAAGAAUGUUCUGCUUAGACCUGAGAGUGUGGGAAGGGGAAGAGAUAGGUAGGUAACAGAAUCAGAAAGGGAGAUUAGGCCCAGACAUUCUGCAUUGUAUCAGAGAGUAGAAAGGGAGGCCAUUGGAAUUUAUCAUUUAUAGGAAGGAUUUGAUCAGACCUGCUCUUGAAGAAAAUGACUUUAUCUUCUGGAAAGCAGUAAGGAAGUGAUCACAACAGUCCAGGUGAGAGGGGAUGAGGGCCCAAACCAGGGUAGUAGCUCCAUGAGUAGAGGGACAAUACAGGAGGGGACGGACACAGGUGAAAGAUGUUGUGCAGGUAGAAAUAAUAAGCUCUGACAAACUGAUUGGCUCAAUGGGGUGAGAGACAGUGGGAAAUUGAGAAUAACCCUGGGUUUGUAAAUCUGUGUGAGUAGAAAGUUGGUGGUAUCCUUGAGAAGAAAAAAGAAGUUUGACUAAUGGCUAGUUUUGGGGGGAAAGAUACUGAGUUCUGUUUUGGACACAAUAUCUAUGCGACAUCUAGUUUGAAAUAUGGAAUAGACAGUUGGCGAUAUGAGACUAAAGCUCAGACAGAACCUAAGGUUGGAUCUGGAGAUGUGGGAUUCAUAUGCAGAGGGAUGCUGAUCAGAUCCUGGGAACUGAAAACCAACUGUAAAUGACAUAGCAACUCUGAUCAAUACAAUGAUCCUUCACAACUCCAAAGGAGUCAGGAAGAAAAAUGCUAUCCACCUCUGGAUAGAAAACUGAUGGAUUCAGAGGGCAGACUGAAGCACAGUUUUUCCCUUCAUUUUUCUUGCUAUUUUUUUCAGACUAUGUGGAAAUACGGUUUGCACAACUUCAUAUGUAUAAUUGGCAUUGUAUUUCUUGUCUUCUCUGUGGGUGGGAGAGAGGCCAGAGAGAGGGAGAGAAUUUGGAGCUGAAAAUAAAAAUAAUUUCUUUAAAAGAGAAAAAAAAAUA